AUUGAACGCUGGCGGCAGGCCUAACACAUGCAAGUCGAGCGGCAGCGGGAAAGUAGCUUGCUACUUUUGCCGGCGAGCGGCGGACGGGUGAGUAAUGCCUGGGAAAUUGCCCAGUCGAGGGGGGAUAACAGUUGGAAACGACUGCUAAUACCGCAUACGCCCUACGGGGGAAAGCAGGGGACCUUCGGGCCUUGCGCGAUUGGAUAUGCCCAGGUGGGAUUAGCUUGUUGGUGAGGUAAUGGCUCACCAAGGCGACGAUCCCUAGCUGGUCUGAGAGGAUGAUCAGCCACACUGGAACUGAGACACGGUCCAGACUCCUACGGGAGGCAGCAGUGGGGAAUAUUGCACAAUGGGGGAAACCCUGAUGCAGCCAUGCCGCGUGUGUGAAGAAGGCCUUCGGGUGUAAAGCUCGUUCGGACCGGGAAAAAUCGCAUCAGUUAAUACCUGGUGUGGAUGAGUGGUACCGGAAGUAAGAAGCACCGGCUAACCUACGUG
RNAcentral lists this ribosomal RNA (495 nucleotides) under uncultured bacterium. RNAcentral's name for it is "bacterial SSU rRNA". It matches the Rfam family "Bacterial small subunit ribosomal RNA", at positions 30 to 507 of the family's 1533-position model. The record is from RNAcentral.